AUUGAACGCUGGCGGCAUGCCUAACACAUGCAAGUCGAACGGCAGCACGGGGGCAACCCUGGUGGCGAGUGGCGGACGGGUGAGGAAUACAUAGGAAUCUGCCCAGUCGUGGGGGCAUAACGUAGGGGAAACUUACGCUAAGUACCGCAUACGACGGUGACGUGAAAGUGGGGGACCGCAAGGCCUCACGCGAUUGGAUGAGCCUAUGUCCGAUUAGCUAGUUGGCGGGGUAAGAGCCCACUAAGGCGACGAUCGGUAGCUGGUCUGAGAGGAUGAUCAGCCACACUGGAACUGAGACACGGUCCAGACUCCUACGGGAGGCAGCAGUGGGGAAUAUUGGACAAUGGGCGCAAGCCUGAUCCAGCAAUG
RNAcentral lists this ribosomal RNA (369 nucleotides) under uncultured bacterium. Its description in RNAcentral is "bacterial SSU rRNA". It matches the Rfam family "Bacterial small subunit ribosomal RNA", at positions 29 to 396 of the family's 1533-position model. The record is from RNAcentral.